GCUAAUACUGGAUAUAUUGUUUACCGCAUGGUGGACAAGGAAAGUUGGUGUAAGCUAACGCAUAUGGAUGGUCUCGCGUCUGAUUAGCUAGUUGGUGGGGUAAAGGCUCACCAAGGCUACGAUCAGUAGCCGGUCUGAGAGGGUGGCCGGCCACACUGGGACUGAGACACGGCCCAGACUCCUACGGGAGGCAGCAGUGGGGAAUUUUGCACAAUGGGGGCAACCCUGAUGCAGCGACGCCGCGUGAACGAGGAAGGCCUUCGGGUCGUAAAGUUCUUUCGACGGGGACGAAAUGUUAUACGAGUAACUGCGUAUAAUUUGACGGUACCUGUAGAAGCAGCCCCGGCUAACUACGUGCCAGCAGCCGCGGUAAAACGUAGGGGGCAAGCGUUGUCCGGAAUUACUGGGCGUAAAGGGCGUGUAGGCGGCGAUGCAAGUCAGGAGUGAAACCCAGCGGCUCAACCGCUGGCU
This 471-nucleotide ribosomal RNA is filed under the name Flexistipes sp. enrichment culture clone SEQ5_Clone2AP1_ANA. RNAcentral's name for it is "bacterial SSU rRNA". It matches the Rfam family "Bacterial small subunit ribosomal RNA", at positions 162 to 621 of the family's 1533-position model. Lineage: Bacteria; Pseudomonadati; Deferribacterota; Deferribacteres; Deferribacterales; Flexistipitaceae. The record is from RNAcentral.